GGAGGCAUGGCUCAAUGGUAGAACAUCUGCUUUGUAUGCAGAAAAUCCCAGGUUCAGUCCUUGUCAUCUCCA
RNAcentral lists this transfer RNA (72 nucleotides) under Sphaerodactylus townsendi. RNAcentral describes it as "tRNA-Thr". It matches the Rfam family "tRNA". From Rfam's summary of the family: Transfer RNA (tRNA) molecules are approximately 80 nucleotides in length. Their secondary structure includes four short double-helical elements and three loops (D, anti-codon, and T loops). Lineage: Eukaryota; Metazoa; Chordata; Lepidosauria; Squamata; Sphaerodactylidae. The record is from RNAcentral.